RNAcentral lists this ribosomal RNA (459 nucleotides) under uncultured bacterium. Its description in RNAcentral is "partial 16S ribosomal RNA". It matches the Rfam family "Bacterial small subunit ribosomal RNA", at positions 338 to 795 of the family's 1533-position model. The record is from RNAcentral.
CCUACGGGUGGCAGCAGUGAGGAAUAUUGGUCAAUGGGCGGAAGCCUGAACCAGCCAAGUAGCGUGCGGGAUGAAGGCCCUACGGGUCGUAAACCGCUUUUGCACGGGGAUAACACCCUCCACUUGUGGAGGUCUGCAGGUACCGUGCGAAUAAGGGCCGGCUAAUUCCGUGCCAGCAGCCGCGGUAAUACGGAGGGUCCGAGCGUUAUCCGGAUUCAUUGGGCUUAAAGGGAGCGUAGGCGGGCGUUCAAGUCAGCUGUAAAAUCGCGGGGCUCAACCGCGCCCCGCAGUUGAAACUGGGGGCCUUGAGUUAACAAGAGGCAGGCGGAAUUCAUGGUGUAGCGGUGAAAUGCAUAGAUAUCACGAAGAACACCGAUUGCGAAGGCAGCCUGCCGGGGUGCGACUGACGCUGAGGCACGAAGGUGCGGGUAUCAAACAGGAUUAGAUACCCUUGUAGUC